CGAGGAGGUAGGGCUUACGCUCGCGUUUGUCUGUUAUAUCUUGGUGGACGAGUUGUCGCGGUUGGGACUGAGGUGCCUACAACGUGCUUUUGAGUGAGUUUGUGUCUCCGUGUGCGCCGUGUGCGGAUAGCUUGCUAUGUAUGUGUGGUUGUGUGUGGAUUGAUGCGGGCCUUAACUUGUUGCCGUUCGGGACGUUGACGAAAUGGAGCGAUCCGACCCGUCUUGAAACACGGACCAAGGAGUCUAACAUGUGUGCAAGUGUUAGGGUGUGGAAACCCCAGCGCGAAAUGAAAGUGAAGGGCAGCGCAAGUUGUCUGAGGUAGGAAACGUUGCGGGCUUCGGUCUGCGGCGUGGCACUAUCGACCGAUCAUGAACCUUCGUGGUGAAAGAUUUGAGUUUGAGCACAUAUGUUGGUACCCGAAAGAUGGUGAACUAUGCCUGAGUAGGGUGAAGCCAGGGGAAACUCUGGUGGAAGCUCGUAGCGAUUCUGACGUGCAAAUCGAUCGUCAAACUUGGGUAUAGGGGCGAAAGACUAAUCGAACCAUCUAGUAGCUGGUUCCCUCCGAAAUUUCCCUCAGGAUAGCAGCAACUUAUUUACGAUAGUUUUAUGAGGUAAAGCGAAUGAUUAGAGGAUUCGGGGAAGAAACUUCCUCGACCUAUUCUCAAACUUUAAAUCUGUAAGACCUGCAGGUUUCUUAAU
RNAcentral lists this ribosomal RNA (700 nucleotides) under Pseudoperonospora cubensis. RNAcentral's name for it is "LSU rRNA". It matches the Rfam family "Eukaryotic large subunit ribosomal RNA", at positions 442 to 1095 of the family's 3401-position model. The record is from RNAcentral. Lineage: Eukaryota; Oomycota; Peronosporomycetes; Peronosporales; Peronosporaceae.